GUGGAUUUUUAGCCCUGGUGGGUAGCUUCCCGGAAACGAAAGUCUUCCGGUUCCGGGGGAAGUAUGGUUGCAAAGCUGAAACUUAAAGGAAUUGACGGAAGGGCACCACCAGGAGUGGAGCCUGCGGCUUAAUUUGACUCAACACGGGGAAACUCACCCGGCCCGGACACCGUAAGGAUUGACAGAUUGAUAGCUCUUUCAUGAUUCGGUGGUUGGUGGUGCAUGGCCGUUCUUAGUUCGUGGAUCGAUUUGUCUGGUUUAUUCCGAUAACGAGCGAGACUCUAGCCUACUAAAUAGUAACGAGAUUAUCAAUGUCUCAGUUGCUUCUUAGAGGGAUUUUCGGUGUUUAGCCGCACGAGAUUGAGCAAUAACAGGUCUGUGAUGCCCUUAGAUGUCCGGGGCUGCACGCGCGCUACACUGGCGAAAUCAGCGUGCUGUAUCCAUUCUCGAAAGGGAUUGGUAAACCCAUGAAAAUUUGCCGUGCUUGGGAUCGGAAAUUGCAAUUAUUUUCCGUGAACGAGGAAUUCCAAGUAAGUGCGAGUCAUCAACUCGCUCUGAUUACGUC
RNAcentral lists this ribosomal RNA (565 nucleotides) under Acrobeloides sp. TKb3. Its description in RNAcentral is "SSU rRNA". It matches the Rfam family "Eukaryotic small subunit ribosomal RNA", at positions 1060 to 1651 of the family's 1831-position model. RNAcentral also lists the same sequence under 5 other names. The record is from RNAcentral. Lineage: Eukaryota; Metazoa; Nematoda; Chromadorea; Rhabditida; Cephalobidae.